RNAcentral lists this ribosomal RNA (100 nucleotides) under uncultured bacterium. RNAcentral's name for it is "partial 16S ribosomal RNA". The record is from RNAcentral.
UACACACUGCCCGUCACACCACGAAAGUUGGGUCUUCCAGAAGAUGGUGCGCUAACCUCGGAGGUAGCCAUCCCAAGGAAAGGACCGAUGAUUGGGGGUG